Molecule: non-coding RNA, 25 nt
Filed under: Rattus norvegicus (Norway rat)
Lineage: Eukaryota; Metazoa; Chordata; Mammalia; Rodentia; Muridae
Source: RNAcentral
CAGCACAGCUGACAGGGUCACUAAG